This 492-nucleotide ribosomal RNA is filed under the name uncultured bacterium. RNAcentral's name for it is "partial 16S ribosomal RNA". It matches the Rfam family "Bacterial small subunit ribosomal RNA", at positions 28 to 507 of the family's 1533-position model. The record is from RNAcentral.
AUUGAACGCUGGCGGCAUGCUUUACACAUGCAAGUCGAACGGUAACAGGCCUUCGGGUGCUGACGAGUGGCGCACGGGUGAGUAAUGCAUCGGAACGUACCCAGAGGUGGGGGAUAACGCAGCGAAAGCUGUGCUAAUACCGCAUGUGAUCUGAGGAUGAAAGCGGGGGACCGAGCAGCAAUGUUUGGCCUCGUGCCGUUGGACCGGCCGAUGUUGGGUUUGCUAGUUGGGUGGGUAAAGGCCUACCAAGGGGGCGAUCCGUCGCUGGUCUGAGAGGACGACCAGCCACACUGGGACUGGGACACGGCCCAGGCGCCUGCGGGAGGCAGCAGUGGGGAAUGUUGGACAAUGGGCGCAAGCCUGGUCCAGCAAUGCCGCGUGCGGGAAGAAGGCCUUCGGGUUGUAAACCGCUUUUGGCAGGAACGAAACGGUGUCCGCUAAUACCGGGCGCUAAUGACGGUACCUGCAGAAUAAGCACCGGCUAACUACGUG